CAGUCGCCACGGUAAUACAGAGGGUGCGAGCGUUAAUCGGAUUUACUGGGCGUAAAGCGUGCGUAGGCGGCUUUUUAAGUCGGAUGUGAAAUCCCUGAGCUUAACUUAGGAAUUGCAUUCGAUACUGGGAAGCUAGAGUAUGGGAGAGGAUGGUAGAAUUCCAGGUGUAGCGGUGAAAUGCGUAGAGAUCUGGAGGAAUACCGAUGGCGAAGGCAGCCAUCUGGCCUAAUACUGACGCUGAGGUACGAAAGCAUGGGGAGCAAACAGGAUUAGAGACCCGCGUAGUCCCUGUCUCUUAUAC
Molecule: ribosomal RNA, 301 nt
Filed under: uncultured bacterium
Lineage: Bacteria
Description: partial 16S ribosomal RNA
Rfam family: Bacterial small subunit ribosomal RNA
Source: RNAcentral